CAGCAGCCGCGGGAAUACGUAGGUGGCAAGCGUUGUCCGGAAUUAUUGGGCAUAAGGGGCUCGCAGGCGGUUUCUUAAGUCUGAUGUGAAAGCCCCCGGCUCAACCGGGGAGGGUCAUUGGAAACUGGGAAACUUGAGUGCAGACGAGGAGAGUGGAAUUCCACGUGUAGCGGUGAAAUGCGUAGAGAUGUGGAGGGACACCAGUGGCGAAGGCGACUCUCUGGUCUGUAACUGACGCUGAGGAGCGAAAGCGUGGGGAGCGAACAGGAUUAGAUACCCGCGUAGUCCCUGUCUCUUACAC
This 301-nucleotide ribosomal RNA is filed under the name uncultured bacterium. Its description in RNAcentral is "partial 16S ribosomal RNA". It matches the Rfam family "Bacterial small subunit ribosomal RNA", at positions 509 to 809 of the family's 1533-position model. The record is from RNAcentral.